AGAGUUUGAUCAUGGCUCAGAACGAACGCUGGCGGCAGGCUUAACACAUGCAAGUCGAGCGCCCCGCAAGGGGAGCGGCAGACGGGUGAGUAACGCGUGGGAAUCUACCCAUCUCUACGGAACAACUCCGGGAAACUGGAGCUAAUACCGUAUACGUCCUUCGGGAGAAAGAUUUAUCGGAGAUGGAUGAGCCCGCGUUGGAUUAGCUAGUUGGUGGGGUAAUGGCCUACCAAGGCGACGAUCCAUAGCUGGUCUGAGAGGAUGAUCAGCCACACUGGGACUGAGACACGGCCCAGACUCCUACGGGAGGCAGCAGUGGGGAAUAUUGGACAAUGGGCGAAAGCCUGAUCCAGCCAUGCCGCGUGAGUGAUGAAGGCCCUAGGGUUGUAAAGCUCUUUCAACGGUGAAGAUAAUGACGGUAACCGUAGAAGAAGCCCCGGCUAACUUCGUGCCAGCAGCCGCGGUAAUACGAAGGGGGCUAGCGUUGUUCGGAAUUACUG
RNAcentral lists this ribosomal RNA (500 nucleotides) under uncultured bacterium. Its description in RNAcentral is "bacterial SSU rRNA". It matches the Rfam family "Bacterial small subunit ribosomal RNA", at positions 8 to 556 of the family's 1533-position model. The record is from RNAcentral.